CCACAUUGUUAUACUGGUGUUAUUUCUGCUGUGUGUAUAUGUCUUGUGGUCUGCCAGGAUGGUAUAGUUAAUUUCCUAAGUGACAUUGCAUCAACUGGCUCCAGUAUUAUUUUUCCUAUUUCUUUGCUUCCUUUAGUGAAUGAAUGGCUGUCAUCCAGAGAGAUAUAAAAUAUCAAGACCUCUGCUCAAAGACUACACUUGGACUGACAAUUUCAUCAUCCAGAAGACUACUGUAAAAGCUUUGUAGAACAGGAAGAAGACAAGAGCUACCAUCUGGAGAGUAGGAAAUUUGGGGUAAGUAAUCAAAAGCAAUGAACUUAAGAAUCCAAGAAGAUCUCGAACUAUUACUCCUUUGCUUUAAUUUUUAAUCAUGAAAAUACUUGCUAGGAAAAGUGACUGUCUAAAAUGGC
RNAcentral lists this long non-coding RNA (410 nucleotides) under Felis catus (domestic cat). RNAcentral's name for it is "lncRNA (ENSFCAG00000049727.1)". The record is from RNAcentral. Lineage: Eukaryota; Metazoa; Chordata; Mammalia; Carnivora; Felidae.